GACGAACGCUGGCGGCGUGCUUAACACAUGCAAGUCAAGGGGGCCCGGUAGCAAUACUGGGCAACCGGCGAACGGGUGCGUAACACGUGAGCAACCUACCGAAAUGUGGGGGAUAGCCGGCCUAACGGCCGAGUAAUACCGCAUACGCUCUCGAUGAGGCAUUUCAUUGAGAGGAAACCUACGGGACAUUUCGAGGGGCUCGCGGCCUAUCAGCUAGUUGGCGAGGUAACGGCUCACCAAGGCAACGACGGGUAGCUGGUCUGAGAGGAUGGCCAGCCACAUUGGGACUGAGAUACGGCCCAGACUCCUACGGGAGGCAGCAGUGGGGAAUCUUGCGCAAUGGCCUAACGGCUGACGCAGCGACGCCGCGUGUGGGAUGAAGCUCUUCGGAGUGUAAACCACUGUUGCCCGGGACGAAUAGCUCGAUUAAUCGAGCCUGACGGUACCGGGUGAGGAAGCACCGGCUAACUCCGU
RNAcentral lists this ribosomal RNA (474 nucleotides) under uncultured bacterium. RNAcentral describes it as "bacterial SSU rRNA". It matches the Rfam family "Bacterial small subunit ribosomal RNA", at positions 28 to 506 of the family's 1533-position model. The record is from RNAcentral.